RNAcentral lists this ribosomal RNA (253 nucleotides) under uncultured bacterium. RNAcentral describes it as "partial 16S ribosomal RNA". It matches the Rfam family "Bacterial small subunit ribosomal RNA", at positions 524 to 776 of the family's 1533-position model. The record is from RNAcentral.
UACGGAGGGUGCAAGCGUUAUCCGGAUUCACUGGGUUUAAAGGGUGCGUAGGUGGGUCUGUAAGUCAGUGGUGAAAUCUCCGUGCUUAACAUGGAAACUGCCAUUGAUACUAUAGGUCUUGAAUUUUCUGGAGGUAAGCGGAAUAUGUCAUGUAGCGGUGAAAUGCUUAGAUAUGACAUAGAACACCAAUUGCGAAGGCAGCUUGCUACAGGAAUAUUGACACUGAGGCACGAAAGCGUGGGGAUCAAACAGG